Molecule: ribosomal RNA, 253 nt
Filed under: uncultured bacterium
Lineage: Bacteria
Description: partial 16S ribosomal RNA
Rfam family: Bacterial small subunit ribosomal RNA
Source: RNAcentral
GACGUAGGGCGCGAGCGUUGUCCGGAUUUAUUGGGCGUAAAGAGCUCGUAGGCGGCUUGUCGCGUCGACUGUGAAAACCCGCGGCUCAACUGCGGGCCUGCAGCCGAUACGGGCAGGCUAGAGUUCGGUAGGGGAGACUGGAAUUCCUGGUGUAGCGGUGAAAUGCGCAGAUAUCAGGAGGAACACCAGUGGCGAAGGCGACUACCUGGCCUGUUCUUGACGCUGAGGCGCGAAAGCUAGGGGAGCAAACGGG